This 253-nucleotide ribosomal RNA is filed under the name uncultured bacterium. RNAcentral's name for it is "partial 16S ribosomal RNA". It matches the Rfam family "Bacterial small subunit ribosomal RNA", at positions 524 to 776 of the family's 1533-position model. The record is from RNAcentral.
UACAGAGGGUGCUAGCGUUGUUCGGAAUCAUUGGGCGUAAAGGGCGUGUAGGCGGUUUGUUAAGUCAUGUGUGAAAUCCCUCGGCUCAACCGGGGAAGGACGCAUGAAACUGGCAAGCUAGAGUACCAAAGAGGGGGGUGGAAUUCCCGGUGUAGCGGUGAAAUGCGCAGAUAUCAGGAAGAACACCUGUGGCGAAGGCGGCCCCCUGGUUGGAUACUGACGCUGAUACGCGAAAGCGUGGGGAGCAAACAGG